Bos taurus (domestic cattle) is the source of this 69-nucleotide non-coding RNA. Lineage: Eukaryota; Metazoa; Chordata; Mammalia; Artiodactyla; Bovidae. The record is from Rfam.
CCUGGUGGCUCAGACGGUAAAGCGUCUGCCUGCAAUGCGGGAGACCCGGGUUCGAUUCCUGGGUCAGGA